CUACGGGAGGCAGCAGUAGGGAAUCUUCCGCAAUGGGCGAAAGCCUGACGGAGCAACGCCGCGUGAGUGAUGAAGGUCUUCGGAUCGUAAAACUCUGUUAUUAGGGAAGAACAAAUGUGUAAGUAACUAUGCACGUCUUGACGGUACCUAAUCAGAAAGCCACGGCUAACUACGUGCCAGCAGCCGCGGUAAUACGUAGGUGGCAAGCGUUAUCCGGAAUUAUUGGGCGUAAAGCGCGCGUAGGCGGUUUUUUAAGUCUGAUGUGAAAGCCCACGGCUCAACCGUGGAGGGUCAUUGGAAACUGGAAAACUUGAGUGCAGAAGAGGAAAGUGGAAUUCCAUGUGUAGCGGUGAAAUGCGCAGAGAUAUGGAGGAACACCAGUGGCGAAGGCGACUUUCUGGUCUGUAACUGACGCUGAUGUGCGAAAGCGUGGGGAUCAAACAGGAUUAGAUACCCUGGUAGUCCACGCCGUAAACGAUGAGUGCUAAGUGUUAGGGGGUUUCCGCCCCUUAGUGCUGCAGCUAACGCAUUA
Molecule: ribosomal RNA, 532 nt
Filed under: Staphylococcus epidermidis
Lineage: Bacteria; Bacillati; Bacillota; Bacilli; Caryophanales; Staphylococcaceae
Description: bacterial SSU rRNA
Rfam family: Bacterial small subunit ribosomal RNA
Source: RNAcentral